CUGUCCCUUUGAGCCAAUCAAAAGUACACCUUUAGGUUUGUCCUUACUUAACACAGCCCAGCCGAGCAGCAAAAACAUAUAGGAACAGAUGGCUGUGAGAUGCAUUCUGAGGGUUGGGCAAAGGGAAGCAAAAUUACAAAGGAGGACAACCAUGGAAAACUUAGGGUGGGCAAAGGAACUUAUUAAUGCUCAGCCAUCGUCCUCUAUCUUCAGCAAUCACACUGUCCUCUCCAGCUCUGUGUCGUUCAGGUGUCCUGUAAUUACUGUCUUCUAUCUUCUGUCUCUGACCUGGAAAAUGCCAUCACAACAUCCUCAGCACCCUGAUCAAUUGAGUGUUGAGGCAGCUGGCUAAGUUGGCUAUUCACUACACCUGCAUAUGUGCGCAAGAACUCCUCUUCACUGGCAGUCAGGUUUGAUCCCAUCUUCCUCAGCAUGAGUAGGACUCUCACUUUCUGCUGAAUGUACAUCUCCUCCGGACUCUUUCCGGGGACGCCCUCACGGUUCAUUCCCCUCCUGCCAGCUCCUGGAUUUCCUGCUUCUAAAAACCACAGAAGAUCAGAUAAUCCACGUGCUCACUCCCAAUUAACUGCCAGAUUUGGGGAAAGAAGUAUGAGGAAAUGGCCCUGCGUGCGGGGCCGGGCCGGCCCCGGCGGUGCUGCGGUGCGGGCGGCGGUGAGCGCGGGCGAGCGGAGCCGUGUGGAGCGGAGAGGAGCGGCCGCCUCCUCCGUCGUGACUCACCGCGGCGGCCCGACGAGGCAGGGAGGGACGGAGGGAGGCGCCUGGGCGGCUCCGGGGGAGGGACCCGCCGCGUCCCCGCGCCCAGGGCAGCGGCGGCGCCGCAGGCACCACCCGAGAG
Molecule: long non-coding RNA, 856 nt
Filed under: Gallus gallus (chicken)
Lineage: Eukaryota; Metazoa; Chordata; Aves; Galliformes; Phasianidae
Source: RNAcentral